Oreochromis aureus is the source of this 464-nucleotide long non-coding RNA. The record is from Ensembl. NCBI's taxonomy places the organism in Eukaryota, Metazoa, Chordata, Actinopteri, Cichliformes, Cichlidae.
AAAAACAAAAAGUGAAUGCAAAAGUGCAUAUAUAUUUAUUUUAUGUGUUUGAUGUGUGUGUCGGGGCGUGGUCUGCAGUGCCGCUGCAGGGGAGGUGGACCCACGGGUGUAAAGUCUGUGCUCUCUUGGCUGUUUUUUGGGGGGCCAGGUAGGGCAUUAACAGAGAAAGGUGGACAUAAAGAUAUACUUUUCUUUCUUACUCUCAUAUAAAAUAUUUAGCUUUUAUUAAAUGCUUAUCCGAAUCUUACAACCAAAGUUUGUAUAAUAAUACACAAGGUUGGCUGUAGACCAUUGUUCAUCAUUCAGAACACUGUGUAAAAAUAACAAAAAACAAAAAGUGAAUGCAAAAGUGCAUAUAUAUUUAUUUUAUGUGUUUGAUGUGUGUGGCGGGCGUGGUCUGCAGUGCCGCUGCAGGGGAGGUGGACCCACGGGUGUAAAGUCUGUGCUCUCUUGGCUGUUUUUUG